GGCCCCUUCGUCUAAUGGUUAGGACGGCAGGUUUUCAUCCUGUAAACAGGGGUUCGAUUCCCCUAGGGGCUA
RNAcentral lists this transfer RNA (72 nucleotides) under Candidatus Jacksonbacteria bacterium RIFCSPLOWO2_01_FULL_44_13. RNAcentral describes it as "tRNA-Glu". It matches the Rfam family "tRNA". From Rfam's summary of the family: Transfer RNA (tRNA) molecules are approximately 80 nucleotides in length. Their secondary structure includes four short double-helical elements and three loops (D, anti-codon, and T loops). The record is from RNAcentral. RNAcentral also lists the same sequence under 3 other names. Lineage: Bacteria; Candidatus Jacksoniibacteriota.